GGGGAUAUAGCUCAGUGGUAGAGCAUUC
This 28-nucleotide non-coding RNA is filed under the name Bombyx mori (domestic silkworm). RNAcentral also lists the same sequence under 6 other names. Lineage: Eukaryota; Metazoa; Arthropoda; Insecta; Lepidoptera; Bombycidae. The record is from RNAcentral.